GAAAUGCGAUAAGUAGUGUGAAUUGCAGAAUUCAGUGAAUCAUCGAAUCUUUGGACGCACAUUGCGCCCUUAGGUAUUCCUUAGGGCAUGCCUGUUCGAGCGUCAUCUAAACCUUCAAGCCCUGCUUGGUGUUGGGUGCCUGUCCCGCCUCCGCGCGCGGACUCACCUCAAAUCCAUUGGCGGCCCCCGCGUCGGCCACGAGCGCAGCAGAAACGCGAACUCGUGAGCCCGUCCGGGCGGCUCCCAGAAGCUACACCCACCCAGUUUGACCUCGGAUCAGGUAGGGAUACCCGCUGAACUUAAGC
RNAcentral lists this unclassified non-coding RNA (305 nucleotides) under plant metagenome. Its description in RNAcentral is "partial contains 5.8S ribosomal RNA, internal transcribed spacer 2, and large subunit ribosomal RNA". The stretch from base 1 to 105 matches the Rfam family "5.8S ribosomal RNA", at positions 50 to 154 of the family's 154-position model. The record is from RNAcentral.